This 445-nucleotide ribosomal RNA is filed under the name uncultured bacterium. RNAcentral describes it as "bacterial SSU rRNA". It matches the Rfam family "Bacterial small subunit ribosomal RNA", at positions 29 to 519 of the family's 1533-position model. The record is from RNAcentral.
AACGAACGCUGGCGGCAGGCCUAACACAUGCAAGUCGAACGCUGUAGCAAUACAGAGUGGCAGACGGGUGAGUAACGCGUGGGAACAUACCCUUUGGUUCGGAAUAACUCAGGGAAACUUGAGCUAAUACCGGAUAAGUGCGAAAGCAGAAAGAUUCAUCGCCGAAGGAUUGGCCCGCGUUCGAUUAGCUUGUUGGUGAGGUAACGGCUCACCAAGGCGACGAUCGANAGCUGGUCUGAGAGGAUGAUCAGCCACAUUGGGACUGAGACACGGCCCAAACUCCUACGGGAGGCAGCAGUGGGGAAUAUUGGACAAUGGGCGAAAGCCUGAUCCAGCCAUGCCGCGUGAGUGAUGAAGGCCCUAGGGUUGUAAAGCUCUUUCGUCAGGGACGAUAAUGACGGUACCUGAAGAAGAAGCCCCGGCUAACUUCGUGCCAGCAGCCGCA